RNAcentral lists this ribosomal RNA (638 nucleotides) under Bacillus thuringiensis. Its description in RNAcentral is "bacterial SSU rRNA". It matches the Rfam family "Bacterial small subunit ribosomal RNA", at positions 79 to 702 of the family's 1533-position model. The record is from RNAcentral. Lineage: Bacteria; Bacillati; Bacillota; Bacilli; Caryophanales; Bacillaceae.
UUUGCUUAUGAAGUUAGCGGCGGACGGGUGAGUAACACGUGGGUAACCUGCCCAUAAGACUGGGAUAACUCCGGGAAACCGGGGCUAAUACCGGAUAACAUUUUGAACCGCAUGGUUCGAAAUUGAAAGGCGGCUUCGGCUGUCACUUAUGGAUGGACCCGCGUCGCAUUAGCUAGUUGGUGAGGUAACGGCUCACCAAGGCAACGAUGCGUAGCCGACCUGAGAGGGUGAUCGGCCACACUGGGACUGAGACACGGCCCAGACUCCUACGGGAGGCAGCAGUAGGGAAUCUUCCGCAAUGGACGAAAGUCUGACGGAGCAACGCCGCGUGAGUGAUGAAGGCUUUCGGGUCGUAAAACUCUGUUGUUAGGGAAGAACAAGUGCUAGUUGAAUAAGCUGGCACCUUGACGGUACCUAACCAGAAAGCCACGGCUAACUACGUGCCAGCAGCCGCGGUAAUACGUAGGUGGCAAGCGUUAUCCGGAAUUAUUGGGCGUAAAGCGCGCGCAGGUGGUUUCUUAAGUCUGAUGUGAAAGCCCACGGCUCAACCGUGGAGGGUCAUUGGAAACUGGGAGACUUGAGUGCAGAAGAGGAAAGUGGAAUUCCAUGUGUAGCGGUGAAAUGCGUAGAGAUAUGGA